Molecule: long non-coding RNA, 1880 nt
Organism: Anolis carolinensis (green anole)
Lineage: Eukaryota; Metazoa; Chordata; Lepidosauria; Squamata; Anolidae
Product: SUN domain-containing protein 3
Exons: 7
Source: RefSeq, a predicted model, not a curated record
AAACUUUUCAAUGGCUAAUGAGUAUAAAUUUAAUACUGUGCCAUUUUAGCAUUAAAAGCCAUUAUUUUUUAAAAAGGAAUUGCCAUAACACUUCAAAUCUGAUGCUUUAGCCUGUGUCUAAGUGCUGGAGUCAAUUUUGAAGCAUUUUUUAAAUCAUCACGUUUCCAAAUAGUUUAGAAACAGCCUCAAACGGAGAAUCCACAGAAAUAUCUUGCAUGGGCUCCAUGCUUUAAUUGAAUAGAAAUGCUUAGAAAAACACAGUGGGGUGAAGUCCACAUACAUGUGGCAAAGCAACCGUGUGUGGUCAAGAUGGCCAAAGUGUGGUCAAGGUGUUUGUAAAGUGUUCAUUGUUUUGUGUUCUGUUUCACUGUAAAUUCUUAAUGUAUGUAAAUAAAAAUUAUUUUAGAAAAGAAAAAAAACAUGGCCAAAGUUAUUAAUGCUGAAGAACCGAUGAGUUAGGAGAAGUUGCAGCAGUUUUCUUUUGCCUGAACCUAUUGCAAAGAGCAAGAUUGCACCCUCCUCUCCUCUCCUCUCCUUUUCUCUUCAAAAAGGAAAAGGGUCAAUGGGAGGAGGAGAGAGAAAUUAGGCUAUUUUAAAAGCAGAGGAAAAAGUGGGGUGGAUGAUUUGGAACUGUCUCUGCAAAGUCAGGACAGCUGGCGGGAAAGGGAAGAAGAAUAAAACCUUGAAGUCCUUUUGAGCGUACAAACCAUGUUCAUCUUUUUCAGGGUCUUCAAAAAGAUCAGCAAAAAAAGCCAUGUUUCUGCUGGUGAAAGAGCCUUAGAAUCAGACUAUGGCAUGAACAACAGCAUCCCUUGCUGUAGUAGAAGCUUGGUGGAUCAAAGGCCCUUCUUCAGAGCUCCCCCUCUGGUGCCACGAAACAUCACAAUGUACAGGGCCCCACAACCACCACGGUCUAUCAUUUAUAUCCAGGCAAGAAAAUGAAGGAGAAAUGGCUACUUCCCUUCUGCAAUCACUGGGGAUUGACAUUCUUACUGAAGACACUGAAGAUCUUAUUGAAAAUAUAACAGUAAGAAUGUGUUACAUCGUGCAAAACUACAGAAAGGAAGAUUUUCCUUUGAACUCUUUGGGAGCCGUUGCGGUGAAAUCUAGAAAGGGAGCAGGAGCAGUGGUUUGCCUGAUGGCCAUCACUUGGAUUUACCAGAGGUCACCAAAUGUCAUUCUGCAGUCCGAUAAUUCACCAGGAAAUUCCUGGGCCAUGGAUGGUUCUCGUGACUUUUUAAUAAUUAAACUGUUCCAACCCAGCUGCCCUGUGUUUUUGCUUAUGGACCAUUGGAGGAAAGAAAUGGCUCCCACCACUGCUCUGCAAAACCUUUCCGUAUAUGGAUUUAAGAAGGAUAUCGAAAUAGAGGAAGGAACAUUUUUGGGGUCUUUCCUUUACAACAUCAAUGAUCAGCCUAGACAGAUGUUCAAACUGGAGGGAUCAUGUCCGGAAGGAUGGCAAUAUCUAAAACUUGUCAUUUCAAGUAACUGAAAUAACCAAAACUACGCAUGUAUAUAUAAAAUCCAAACCUACAGAUUGAAAAUAUGAAAAAAGAACAAAAAAGCUUAGACCCUUUUUUGAUAUGGAAAAAAGAUUCUUUACUAUUUGCUAUACUGUUUGUUACUAUUUGUUACUUCCAGAGCCUGUGGCAUGGCUCAUUUUUGUUUUUGUAUAUUAUUAUUUCCUUUUUUUAAACUUUCCCCAUUUUUCCUUGUUCACUUACCCUCCCCACGGCCCCCCACUCCUUUCCUCUUCCACAUAGUCUGUAUAUAAUGUUUUAUUAUAUUAAAUUUUUUUGUUGUUGUUAUAAGAAUUGUAUCAAAGUUGCUUACAAACCUUACAAAAAAAAUGAUAUUAUUAAAAAAAGAAUCUUUAAUAU